AGCAAGUUCUGAUCGCUGCCUGGUGAGGAGGUGGUUUUGUCUUGCCAAGUACUUUCUGCAGUUAAAUCUGGAGCAGGAUGGUGGAGUUAUUUCCAUACAUGACUGAGAGGCGCCUAUGUUAAAUAAUGAGGCAAAAUUGAAGACCUGUUCUGAAAGGCAGUUCUGUCAAAGCUCUUGGCUAACUUGUGCUCAGUUAAGUGCACCAUGAAUCAUCAGCGGGGAGCUAGAUAUUAUCCAGUGUGACACUGAAUUGCUGGCUGACUGGAUUUUUCACAGAAACUUUAUCAUACAGGUAGGAUGCUUCCUUGUACUUCUUCUGAUAGUGUGAAAGUAUUAAAUGAAAACACAAAUAUGGAUAUAAAUGUCUUACCCCAUUUUUCAGCAGAACCACAUCUUCUGUCUCAACAAUUCACUGCUAAGAGGAUCACAGUGAUGAAUAGAAUCACUGCAAAGAAGUACAGAAUGAUGGCAGUGUAACACCACUGUGCGUUCUCGGAGCAGGCUGCUAGUGAAGAGAAAAGGAAGAAAGGUCUCACAACAGGAUCAGAAGAGCCUGGCUAGUUCUUUUUAUCAUGCUAGAUGUUGAGAAGAUGCCUAAAAACAUGACCUCUCAUUUUCUGAAGCUGUGCACAGCUUUGCCAGCACUCUCACCUUACUGUGCAGUUCACCAGCUGUGGCCGCACAGCUCUGCUAGAGCAUUUUACUCAGCAGUAUACCUAGCUGUUCUGUCCCUGAGUGUCCUUUGGAAAAUGGCUCAUAACAGUGGUGCUAACAUGGAUUAUUAUUCUGAAUUUACAUAGCUGAACACUCAGAAGAAAAUUAUGAUGUUCUCCUUCAGGCUUUUUAAAGAAGUUUUCAUGGGUAAUUCAGAAUUCUACAGACUGCUUUUCCCAGAUGGACUUUUAACACUCUUUUUAAACACAACAAAGAAAUAUGUGUUUAAUUAGUUGUUAAA
Molecule: long non-coding RNA, 955 nt
Organism: Lagopus leucura (white-tailed ptarmigan)
Lineage: Eukaryota; Metazoa; Chordata; Aves; Galliformes; Phasianidae
Exons: 3
Source: RefSeq, a predicted model, not a curated record